Molecule: non-coding RNA, 196 nt
Organism: Cherax quadricarinatus
Lineage: Eukaryota; Metazoa; Arthropoda; Malacostraca; Decapoda; Parastacidae
Source: RefSeq, a predicted model, not a curated record
AUCGCUUCUCGGCUUUCCUAAGCUAAGAUCAAAAGUGUAGUAUCUGUUCUUAUCAGCGUGAUAUCUGAUAUGAUCCCCAUGUGGGAUCUUCGAUAUUAAACUGAUUUUUGGAUCAUGGCAAAGUGCUAGGGGCUUGCUCCACCUUUGCUGCGGAUCAGCCCGGUAUUGCAUUAUCUCCGGGAUUGGUCCACUCCUC